UGGAGCCAUCCUUGAAAUACCACCCUUUAAUGGCUGGUGUUCUAACGUGGGCCCGUAAUCCGGGUUGCGGACAGUGUCUGGUGGGUAGUUUGACUGGGGCGGUCUCCUCCUAAAGAGUAACGGAGGAGCACGAAGGUCAGCUAAUCCUGGUCGGACAUCAGGAGGUUAGUGCAAUGGCAUAAGCUGGCUUGACUGCGAGCGUGACGGCGCGAGCAGGUGCGAAAGCAGGUCAUAGUGAUCCGGUGGUUCUGAAUGGAAGGGCCAUCGCUCAACGGAUAAAAGGUACUCCGGGGAUAACAGGCUGAUACCGCCCAAGAGUUCAUAUCGACGGCGGUGUUUGGCACCUCGAUGUCGGCUCAUCACAUCCUGGGGCUGAAGUAGGUCCCAAGGGUAUGGCUGUUCGCCAUUUAAAGUGGUACGCGAGCUGGGUUUAGAACGUCGUGAGACAGUUCGGUCCCUAUCUGCCGUGGGCGCUGGAGAAUUGAGGGGGGCUGCUCCUAGUACGAGAGGACCGGAGUGGACGCAUCACUGGUGUUCGGGUUGUCAUGCCAAUGGCAUUGCCCGGUAGCUAAAUGCGGAAGAGAUAAGUGCUGAAAGCAUCUAAGUACGAAACUUGCCCCGAGAUGAGUUCUCCCUGACUCCUUGAGAGUCCUGAAGGAACGUUGAAGACGACGACGUUGAUAGGCCGGGUGUGUAAGCGCAGCGAUGCGUUGAGCUAACCGGUACUAAUGAACCGUGAGGCUUAACCUU
Molecule: ribosomal RNA, 750 nt
Filed under: Klebsiella pasteurii
Lineage: Bacteria; Pseudomonadati; Pseudomonadota; Gammaproteobacteria; Enterobacterales; Enterobacteriaceae
Description: partial 23S ribosomal RNA
Rfam family: Bacterial large subunit ribosomal RNA
Source: RNAcentral